GAAGAGAGGAGCUUGCUCUUCUUGGAUGAGUUGCGAACGGGUGAGUAACGCGUAGGUAACCUGCCUUGUAGCGGGGGAUAACUAUUGGAAACGAUAGCUAAUACCGCAUAACAAUAGGUGACACAUGUCAUUUAUUUGAAAGGGGCAAUUGCUCCACUACAAGAUGGACCUGCGUUGUAUUAGCUAGUAGGUGAGGUAACGGCUCACCUAGGCGACGAUACAUAGCCGACCUGAGAGGGUGAUUGGCCACACUGGGACUGAGACACGGCCCAGACUCCUACGGGAGGCAGCAGUAGGGAAUCUUCGGCAAUGGGGGCAACCCUGACCGAGCAACGCCGCGUGAGUGAAGAAGGUUUUCGGAUCGUAAAGCUCUGUUGUAAGUCAAGAACGAGUGUGAGAGUGGAAAGUUCACACUGUGACGGUAGCUUACCAGAAAGGGACGGCUAACUACGUGCCAGCAGCCGCGGUAAUACGUAGGUCCCGAGCGUUGUCCGGAUUUAUUGGGCGUAAAGCGAGCGCAGGCGGUUUGAUAAGUCUGAAGUUAAAGGCUGUGGCUCAACCAUAGUUCGCUUUGGAAACUGUCAAACUUGAGUGCAGAAGGGGAGAGUGGAAUUCCAUGUGUAGCGGUGAAAUGCGUAGAUAUAUGGAGGAACACCGGUGGCGAAAGCGGCUCUCUGGUCUGU
This 683-nucleotide ribosomal RNA is filed under the name uncultured Bacilli bacterium. Its description in RNAcentral is "bacterial SSU rRNA". It matches the Rfam family "Bacterial small subunit ribosomal RNA", at positions 68 to 737 of the family's 1533-position model. The record is from RNAcentral. Lineage: Bacteria; Bacillati; Bacillota; Bacilli.